RNAcentral lists this small nuclear RNA (104 nucleotides) under Chinchilla lanigera (long-tailed chinchilla). The record is from RNAcentral. Lineage: Eukaryota; Metazoa; Chordata; Mammalia; Rodentia; Chinchillidae.
AUGCUCGCUUCGGCACAUACACUAAAAUUGGAACAAUACAGAGCAGAUUAGCAUGGCCCCUGCGCAAGGAUGACACGCAAAUUUGUGAAGUGUUCCAUAUUUUU